GACGAACCGUGCUAACGUUGUUCGGAAUCACUGGGCUUAAAGGGCGCGUAGGCGGGCCGCCAAGUCCGGGGUGAAAGCCCCCAGCUCAACUGGGGAAGUGCCUCGGAUACUGGCGGCCUCGAGGGAGGUAGGGGCGUGCGGAACUUCCGGUGGAGCGGUGAAAUGCGUAGAGAUCGGAAGGAACGCCGGUGGCGAAAGCGGCACGCUGGACCUCUUCUGACGCUGAGGCGCGAAAGCCAGGGGAGCAAACGGG
Molecule: ribosomal RNA, 253 nt
Filed under: uncultured bacterium
Lineage: Bacteria
Description: partial 16S ribosomal RNA
Rfam family: Bacterial small subunit ribosomal RNA
Source: RNAcentral